AUUGAACGCUGGCGGCAGGCCUAACACAUGCAAGUCGAGCGGAUGAAGGGAGCUUGCUCCUGGAUUCAGCGGCGGACGGGUGAGUAAUGCCUAGGAAUCUGCCUGGUAGUGGGGGAUAACGUCCGGAAACGGGCGCUAAUACCGCAUACGUCCUGAGGGAGAAAGUGGGGGAUCUUCGGACCUCACGCUAUCAGAUGAGCCUAGGUCGGAUUAGCUAGUUGGUGGGGUAAAGGCCUACCAAGGCGACGAUCCGUAACUGGUCUGAGAGGAUGAUCAGUCAAACUGGAACGGAGAAACGGUCCAGACUCCUAGGGGAGGAAGCAGGGGGGAAUAUUGGACAAGGGGCGAAAGCCUGAUCCAGCCAUGCCGGGGGGGGGAAGAAGGUCUUCGGAUGGUAAAGCACUUUAAGUGGGGAGGAAGGGCAGUAAGUUAAUACCUUGCUGUUUUGACGUUACCAACAGAAUAAGCACCGGCUAACUUCGG
RNAcentral lists this ribosomal RNA (483 nucleotides) under uncultured bacterium. RNAcentral's name for it is "partial 16S ribosomal RNA". It matches the Rfam family "Bacterial small subunit ribosomal RNA", at positions 29 to 506 of the family's 1533-position model. The record is from RNAcentral.